Molecule: ribosomal RNA, 449 nt
Filed under: uncultured bacterium
Lineage: Bacteria
Description: bacterial SSU rRNA
Rfam family: Bacterial small subunit ribosomal RNA
Source: RNAcentral
CUCCAGACUCCUACGGGAGGCAGCAGUGGGGAAUAUUGGGCAAUGGGCGCAAGCCUGACCCAGCAACGCCGCGUGAAGGAAGAAGGCUUUCGGGUUGUAAACUUCUUUUCUCAGGGACGAAGCAAGUGACGGUACCUGAGGAAUAAGCCACGGCUAACUACGUGCCAGCAGCCGCGGUAAUACGUAGGUGGCAAGCGUUAUCCGGAUUUACUGGGUGUAAAGGGCGUGUAGGCGGGAAAGCAAGUCAGAUGUGAAAACCAUGGGCUCAACCUGUGGCCUGCAUUUGAAACUGUAUUUCUUGAGUGCUGGAGAGGCAAUCGGAAUUCCGUGUGUAGCGGUGAAAUGCGUAGAUAUACGGAGGAACACCAGUGGCGAAGGCGGAUUGCUGGACUGUAACUGACGUUGAGGCUCGAAAGCGUGGGGAGCAAACAGGAUUAGAUACCCGUGUA